UAGGGAAUCUUCGGCAAUGGACGAAAGUCUGACCGAGCAACGCCGCGUGAGUGAAGAAGGUUUUCGGAUCGUAAAACUCUGUUGUUAGAGAAGAACAAGGACGUUAGUAACUGAACGUCCCCUGACGGUAUCUAACCAGAAAGCCACGGCUAACUACGUGCCAGCAGCCGCGGUAAUACGUAGGUGGCAAGCGUUGUCCGGAUUUAUUGGGCGUAAAGCGAGCGCAGGCGGUUUCUUAAGUCUGAUGUGAAAGCCCCCGGCUCAACCGGGGAGGGUCAUUGGAAACUGGGAGACUUGAGUGCAGAAGAGGAGAGUGGAAUUCCAUGUGUAGCGGUGAAAUGCGUAGAUAUAUGGAGGCACACCAGUGGCGAAGGCGGCUCUCUGGUCUGUAACUGACGCUGAGGCUCGAGAGCGUGGGGAGCAAACAGG
This 429-nucleotide ribosomal RNA is filed under the name Gemmatimonadota bacterium. RNAcentral describes it as "Gemmatimonadetes bacterium partial 16S ribosomal RNA". It matches the Rfam family "Bacterial small subunit ribosomal RNA", at positions 355 to 776 of the family's 1533-position model. The record is from RNAcentral. Lineage: Bacteria; Pseudomonadati; Gemmatimonadota.